Molecule: unclassified non-coding RNA, 427 nt
Filed under: Hevea brasiliensis (rubber tree)
Lineage: Eukaryota; Viridiplantae; Streptophyta; Magnoliopsida; Malpighiales; Euphorbiaceae
Source: RNAcentral
UUGGCAUGUGCUCCAUUUUCCUCUGUGUGGCAUCCCUUUUGCAGAGGCGGCUUCUGGUUAUUGCGGAAAGUCAAAAACCGAGAUCACAAGAUUGGACAGCAAUGAAAGAGAUGGAAGCAGAGCCAUUAAAUGCUUGAUUGAUGUUAGAGGAAUAAACCUCUGGAAUUUUUUUCAAGAUUGUGAGCAGCCGCCUUUGCUCCUUAUGCACGUUGGAGCCAACUUGGUUAGCUGUUUGCGAUCCAACCAAUAACAGACGAUUGUGGGCUAAGUCCUACUUUUGAUAAGAGCUGGUAGAGGAUUUUAUGCGGGCCUAAGAGGUAGUUGACAGUAAAGAAAUGAUUUUUAGGUGCAUAGAACGUAUGAAAAGUCAUUGCUUUGAAAUCUUGUUGACUGGUGCUAUUGUAAUCUACGGUAGCGCAACGCCAGA